RNAcentral lists this ribosomal RNA (217 nucleotides) under uncultured bacterium. RNAcentral's name for it is "partial 16S ribosomal RNA". It matches the Rfam family "Bacterial small subunit ribosomal RNA", at positions 328 to 539 of the family's 1533-position model. The record is from RNAcentral.
ACGCUCGACACCUACGGGAGGCAGCAGUGAGGAAUAUUGGUCAAUGGGCGCUAGCCUGAACCAGCCAAGUAGCGUGAAGGAUGAAGGCUCUAUGGGUCGUAAACUUCUUUUAUAUAAGAAUAAAGUGCAGUAUGUAUACUGUUUUGUAUGUAUUAUAUGAAUAAGGAUCGGCUAACUCCGUGCCACAGCCGCGGUAAUCUGAGGCGGCUGGCAAGGC